GAUGAACGCUAGCGACAGGCUUAACACAUGCAAGUCGAGGGGCAGCACGGGAGUAGCAAUACAACUGGUGGCGACCGGCGCACGGGUGAGUAACGCGUAUGCAACCUACCUAUCAGAGGGGAAUAACCCGGCGAAAGUCGGACUAAUACCGCAUAAAACAGGGGCACCGCAUGGUGAUAUUUGUUAAAGAAAUUCGCUGAUAGAUGGGCAUGCGUUCCAUUAGGUAGUUGGUGAGGUAGCGGCUCACCAAGCCGACGAUGGAUAGGGGAACUGAGAGGUUGGUCCCCCACACUGGUACUGAGACACGGACCAGACUCCUACGGGAGGCAGCAGUGAGGAAUAUUGGUCAAUGGGCGGGAGCCUGAACCAGCCAAGUCGCGUGAAGGAAGAAGGAUCUAUGGUUCGUAAACUUCUUUUGCAGGGGAAUAAAGUGCAGGACGUGUCCUGUUUUGUAUGUACCCUGAGAAUAAGGAUCGGCUAACUCCGUGCCAGCAGCCGCAGUAA
This 504-nucleotide ribosomal RNA is filed under the name uncultured bacterium. RNAcentral's name for it is "partial 16S ribosomal RNA". It matches the Rfam family "Bacterial small subunit ribosomal RNA", at positions 28 to 523 of the family's 1533-position model. The record is from RNAcentral.